AGGGAAGCAGCGGCCGCCAUUUCAGGGAGCUUGUCGACGCUGUCGCAGGGGUGGAUCCUGAGCUGCCGAAGCCGCCGUCCUGCUCUCCCGCGUGGGCUUCUCUAAUUCCAUUGUUUUUUUUAGAUUCUCUCGGGCCUAGCCGUCCUUGGAACCCGAUAUUCGGGCUGGGCGGUUCCGCGGCCUGGGCCUAGGGGCUUAACAGUAGCAACAGAAGCGGCGGCGGCGGCAGCAGCAGCAGCAGCAGCAGCAAUCUCUUCCCGAACACGAGCACCACAGGCGCCCGAAGGCCGGAACAGGCGUUUAGAGAAAAUGGCAGACGAUAUUGAUAUUGAAGCAAUGCUUGAGGCUCCUUACAAGAAGGUGAGAAAAAACAUGUCGGUGAGGUUUAUAUAUUUCUUAAUUUAGCAUUAUUCACGAAACUACUGCUGAAAUGUAAACUAACCUCCCCGGAGCCCUCUUGAUUUAUCUUAUCAGAGAUGCAUUACGUGUAACUUACAAAAGUAAAUAUAUGCUAUUGAUGUAAUAAUAUUGUGCAGUAGUUUCACUUCAGCGUGAUGAAUAAAUGCCCAUCUAUCUCUCUUUGUAGACUUGCCUAACGAUAUCUCACCUCUACUCCCAUGAAUUCACCUUUGAUUCCAGUGUGAACUGUCAAUCAUAAGGUAGUAAUUGAGUGACUUAUCGCUGUACCGUGGUCCCCUAGGUAAAAUGACUCAACUAAGAAUUACCACCUCCAGUUUGGUAUAGCAAAAAGGUGAAUGUAGUGGUUUGGGAAAAAGCAGGGGUCCAAGAAUAACAAAGCAUGACCAGUCUGUGGCAAGUUAAAUCUUCUAACAGUCUUAUAAGAAGAAAUGGGUGAGAUUUUAAAAUUUAUGUAUCUAUGUAAGACUGGUGAUAGUAAAUCUUAAAACAGUCCAGUGGCAAUCUGCUGCUCAGUUAAUAAUUACUAAAAUUCUUGGAUCCCUGAAUAGAAAUUAAAAAAAAAAAAUACAAGAGGCAGUAGAGUCAAUACAAGCUUAAUACAAGCUUAGAGUAAAUACAAGCUUAGAGUCACUUGAUGACUGUUUUACUGUUCUCCAUAUUGUUUUUAUUUUUAAUUAGGCCCUACCAUAGUAUUUCACACUAAAAACAAAGGAAUUAUAUUGGCUAAUAUAGUCUUUGACUCAUUUCGGUAUCUCAGUAAAAGUAAACUGUCUUUUCAUUGUUUCACCAGUUGGUGGUGAAAAUAGCAGUAUGCAUGCAUUAUCACUGGUGUCACAAACUGUAAGCUUUGUAAGUUAGCACUUUACUCCUAUAGCUGAUGUAAUCAAACUUUAAAAUAAACAUUUCACUAAACCUUUUAAAAAUAAUACAUUUGUUUUGGAUUGUAUAGCACGACCAUGUGGUACCAAUUUGGAUGAAUUCUUGAUAGAUUUAAAUAGUGUAUGUAAUUUUGUAAUGCUUAGACUCUUGAAGAGCUACUUUCUGUUUUAAUGUUAAGAUUCUUGUGUCUUAGUUUUUUUUAACAUGGAUGUAAUUCCAUGUAAACAGGUAUGGAAGUAGGAAAUGUUUAGGCUGGACUUGGUGGAUUAUUAAUUGACUUUCUUGGGUUCUUGGGAGUCAACAUUACUAAAGCAGUGUGAAUCCCUGUUUGCUUCAGGGCGAGAUGUGUGACAGAGGUGGCAUCAAGCUCUUACAGUCCCAACCCUCCAACGGAAAUGGGCGAAGAUCUCAGGAAUGGCAUCGGUCACAGGAAAUCGAUAGUGGCUGGCUGCUAGCAUGGCCACUUGGGGCUUAGGCAGAAAUAGAGCCAUGGUACUGACCAAAGGGACCAUAGCACAUGGAAUAAAACUCAAAACAGGACUUCAUGUUUUAUGGAAAUUAUAUUUAACCACUUCAACAUUGUAAAUCUGGAUAACUUUUAAUAUCUAAACUAUAUAAGAAAGUAAAAUUUAACAUGUUAAUAUGGAAAAUUUUUUUAUUUUUGUAUCUUGAUGACUUAAAUGUAAGCAACAAAGUGGUUAAACACAUACCCAUCUAAAUUUUUUUAUAGCCUUCCAUGUUAAACUAUAAGUAAAUAAUUAGUUUUAAAAUUGUUUUGUAUUUUCUUAUUCCUGUUCCCUUUACCCUUUGACAACUUGAAAUGUUACCACUUCGUCCUCAUGAUGUUCUUCUAUCAACCCUGCUUAGGAUGAGAACAAGUUGAGCAGUGCCAACGGCCAUGAAGAACGUAGCAAAAAGAGGAAAAAAAGCAAGAGCAGAAGUCGUAGUCAUGAACGAAAGAGAAGCAAAAGUAAGGAACGGAAGCGAAGUAGAGACAGAGAAAGGAAAAAGAGCAAAAGCCGUGAAAGAAAGCGAAGUAGAAGCAAAGAGAGGCGACGGAGCCGCUCAAGAAGUCGAGAUCGAAGAUUUAGAGGCCGCUACAGAAGUCCUUACUCCGGACCAAAAUUUAACAGUGCCAUCCGAGGAAAGAUUGGGUUGCCUCAUAGCAUCAAAUUAAGCAGACGACGUUCCCGAAGCAAAAGUCCAUUCAGAAAAGACAAGAGCCCUGUGAGAGAACCUAUUGAUAAUUUAACUCCUGAGGAAAGAGAUGCAAGGACAGUCUUCUGUAUGCAGCUGGCGGCAAGAAUUCGACCAAGGGAUUUGGAAGAGUUUUUCUCUACAGUAGGAAAGGUUCGAGAUGUGAGGAUGAUUUCUGACAGAAAUUCAAGACGUUCCAAAGGAAUUGCUUAUGUGGAGUUCGUCGAUGUUAGCUCAGUGCCUCUAGCAAUAGGAUUAACUGGCCAACGAGUUUUAGGCGUGCCAAUCAUAGUACAGGCAUCACAGGCAGAAAAAAACAGAGCUGCAGCAAUGGCAAACAAUUUACAAAAGGGAAGUGCUGGACCUAUGAGGCUUUAUGUGGGCUCAUUACACUUCAACAUAACUGAAGAUAUGCUUCGUGGGAUCUUUGAGCCUUUUGGAAGAAUUGAAAGUAUCCAGCUGAUGAUGGACAGUGAAACUGGUCGAUCCAAGGGAUAUGGAUUUAUUACAUUUUCUGACUCAGAAUGUGCCAAAAAGGCUUUGGAACAACUUAAUGGAUUUGAACUAGCAGGAAGACCAAUGAAAGUUGGUCAUGUUACUGAACGUACUGAUGCUUCGAGUGCUAGUUCAUUUUUGGACAGUGAUGAACUGGAAAGGACUGGAAUUGAUUUGGGAACAACUGGUCGUCUUCAGUUAAUGGCAAGACUUGCAGAGGGUACAGGUUUGCAGAUUCCGCCAGCAGCACAGCAAGCUCUACAGAUGAGUGGCUCUUUGGCAUUUGGUGCUGUGGCAGAAUUCUCUUUUGUUAUAGAUUUGCAAACAAGACUUUCCCAGCAGACUGAAGCUUCAGCUUUAGCUGCAGCUGCCUCUGUUCAGCCACUUGCAACACAAUGUUUCCAACUCUCUAACAUGUUUAACCCUCAAACAGAAGAAGAAGUUGGAUGGGAUACCGAGAUUAAGGAUGAUGUGAUUGAAGAAUGUAAUAAACAUGGAGGAGUUAUUCAUAUUUAUGUUGACAAAAAUUCAGCUCAGGGCAAUGUGUAUGUGAAGUGCCCAUCAAUUGCUGCAGCUAUUGCUGCUGUCAAUGCAUUGCAUGGCAGGUGGUUUGCUGGUAAAAUGAUAACAGCAGCAUAUGUACCUCUUCCAACUUACCACAACCUGUUUCCUGAUUCUAUGACAGCAACACAGCUACUGGUUCCAAGUAGACGAUGAAGGAAGAUAUAGUCCCUUAUGUAUAUAGCUUUUUUUCUUUCUUGAGAAUUCAUCUUGAGUUAUCUUUUAUUUAGAUAAAAAUAAAGAGGCAAGGAUCUACUGUCAUUUGUAUGCAAUUUCCUGUUACCUUGAAAAAAUAAAAAUGUUAACAGGAAUGCAGUGUGCUCAUUCUCCCUAAAUAGUAAAUCCCACUGUAUACAAAACUGUUCUCUUGUUCUGCCUUUUAAAAUGUUCAUGUAGAAAAUUAAUGAACUAUAGGAAUAGCUCUAGGAGAACAAAUGUGCUUUCUGUAAAAAGGCAGACCAGGGAUGUAAUGUUUUUAAUGUUUCAGAAGCCUAACUUUUUACACAGUGGUUACAUUUCACAUUUCACUAAUGUUGAUAUUUGGCUGAUGGUUGAGCAGUUUCUGAAAUACACAUUUAGUGUAUGGAAAUACAAGACAGCUAAAGGGCUGUUUGGUUAGCAUCUCAUCUUGCAUUCUGAUCAAUUGGCAAGAAAGGGAGAUUUCAAAAUUAUAUUUCUUGAUGGUAUCUUUUCAAUUAAUGUAUCUGUAAAAGUUUCUUUGUAAAUACUAUGUGUUCUGGUGUGUCUUAAAAUUCCAAACAAAAUGAUCCCUGCAUUUCCUGAAGAUGUUUAAACGUGAGAGUCUGGUAGGCAAAGCAGUCUGAGAAAGAAAUAGGAAAUGCAGAAAUAGGUUUUGUCUGGUUGCAUAUAAUCUUUGCUCUUUUUAAGCUCUGUGAGCUCUGAAAUAUAUUUUUGGGUUACUUCAGUGUGUUUGACAAGACAGCUUGAUAUUUCUAUCAAACAAAUGACUUUCAUAUUGCAACAAUCUUUGUAAGAACCACUCAAAUAAAAGUCUCUUAAAAAGGCCA
RNAcentral lists this long non-coding RNA (4580 nucleotides) under Homo sapiens (human). RNAcentral describes it as "non-protein coding lnc-NFS1-1:5". Lineage: Eukaryota; Metazoa; Chordata; Mammalia; Primates; Hominidae. The record is from RNAcentral.